This 523-nucleotide long non-coding RNA is filed under the name Mytilus galloprovincialis (Mediterranean mussel). Lineage: Eukaryota; Metazoa; Mollusca; Bivalvia; Mytilida; Mytilidae. The record is from RNAcentral.
GUUGGGAAAACUUGGUUAUUUAGGGAAUCACUGGAGCAUGACUGGAAGCGGGCCCCCUCUUAGGCAGUCAAGGGAUCCGCCACCGCUUGUAAACUAUGACUAUUUAGUAUUACAUUUGUAUAUUUUACUGUUGUUUGGAACAAAUACCGCCACUGCACCAGCUGGGGCCAGCAUUUCAACUUGCACGUCUCAUUUUUACAUACUUCUUUGUGUAUUCACAACAUAUUUGAUAUAUCUUCGAGUUUAAUUGACAAAAAAACGUCUAUUCUUACCAUUUCUUUCACAAUCGUUACAGGAAACAUUCUUUGACAGGCGGCGGGAAACUAUCUACUAUGCAUAAUAUACAACUCGUUUCAGGACUUGAUUCCGGAUUUUUUUCUGAUAGGACUUUUUUUAAAGUAAGACAGGUUGCAGUCGUAUUGAUUGAUCCAGGGGUACGAAGAGGGCGUACGCUACACUUUGAUCGUCAAAACAGUUUCUCAUUGUUCUCACAAUUGAUAUGAUUAUAAAAACGUUAAAAAAA